CUUCCUUUCGGAGAGGGUGAGGAGAGGCGCAGGAUAAGAAUUUCGCUGCUCCUCUCUGCUCCGCUCCGCAUGUGCAUGACAUGGUGAUGAUUUUCGUCAACUCCUCACCCGCGUGGAGAGGUUUGUGCUUGUAAAGAUCAGCAGACGGGCGGUUGUUAAAUUUGAUCUUCGGCGGUCUAUGAUCAGCAGACGGGCGGCUGUUAAAUUUGAUCUUCGGCGGUCUAUGAUCAGCAGAUGGGCAGCUGUUAAAUUUGAUCUUCGGCGGUCUAUGAAGGAAAGAAAGCCGAAAUUUAUCUCAGAACAGCUACGUAUUUUUAGAGGCGCUCUUCGGCUAUUCCUCUCUGAUGUCCUUAACGGCCUGUGGCGCGUAGGCGUGGAUAAAGCGUAGGAUGUCCUGCCGGAGUAGAUCCAGGGCUCGCUCUCUCCUGAGCAGGCCAUCCACAUCUCCCAGAUCAUUGGGAAAGGCGGCGUCGGGCGGGAUGACGAGCGCUGACGCCCCUGUGGGGGGGAGACGGCGGGGUAGUUUGGUCCAAGGGAAAAUUGGUGGCGUAAUGAUGACAUGCGGAAAUGUACCAUGCUUGAGAGUGCUAGAGUUCUCGCAGAGGAGCACCGCAAUCACUGCGUCUUCCUGUACUACCUGCCGUCGCAGGCUUAAUUUGCAGUGGGCCUCUGCUAAAGAGAUCCUGUUACAACAAACAUGAGAAGGAUCACUUUAUUUUUUGGAGGGGGGGGGCUAAUACAUUUUUAAAUGUACUAAAUGAA
This is a long non-coding RNA of Syngnathus acus (greater pipefish), 762 nucleotides long. RefSeq lists it as uncharacterized. The transcript has 6 exons. The record is from RefSeq and is a predicted model, not a curated record. NCBI's taxonomy places the organism in Eukaryota, Metazoa, Chordata, Actinopteri, Syngnathiformes, Syngnathidae.